RNAcentral lists this ribosomal RNA (2025 nucleotides) under Triticum aestivum (bread wheat). Its description in RNAcentral is "partial small subunit ribosomal RNA". Lineage: Eukaryota; Viridiplantae; Streptophyta; Magnoliopsida; Poales; Poaceae. The record is from RNAcentral.
AUGCGGAGAUCCAAGGGAUCAGGACGGCGGCGAGCUGCAGACGAGCGGAAGCUCAUCCGGAUGGCGGACGAGGCGGCCGCAGCGAGCUCGAUGCAAGCGGCGGCGGCAGCGGCGCUGGCCUCCCUCCACCUCCCUCCUCCAGGACUGACAGAAACUGACAACCAAGAUCGGAAAAUUUUCGGGAGAGGAGCACGGAUAAAGCGGAAGGCGAAGCGGAAGUGGGGCUACGUUGGCGCUGAAGCAGGCGCGGUGGACUCUGGCGGGCUGCGUCCCCGUCUUCUUAGUCAUCGCCGGUCGACUUGCAGGGGAGGAGUUGGAUCCAUGGAUGAAGUAUUACAUGGUGAAGUGGGCAUCAGGAGCCGUUUCAGUGCUGGGAGGAUUCGAGAGAUCAUGCGUGGUCUGACACCCCGGCAGCAGGGGUAUGUUGCAAAGUAUGGAUUCGAGCAUUUCAAUCGUAUCGGGGCAUUCUCUGUUCAUGAGCCACUGACUGAGUGGAUCAUGGGAAAAAUUAACCCCCCGUUCUCUGAGUUCAGAAUUAAUGCGGACAAGACAAUAGUUUUCAGCAAGCCCCUUGUUCAGAAAAUUCUAGGUGUACCUACAGGGGGAAGACCCUUUGUACUGCAUGGGCAGAAGUCGGACAAAAUCAAAGAACUGCGAGAUCUGUACUUAAAUAAUGGACUAAGGGCAACCAUCCCCCAUUGUGUCAGUUUGCUUAAGAACAAUGAGGACGAGGAGUCCUUCAUGAGGACAUUCCUGCUUAUUGCACUGGCGGCAGUGCUCACCCCCACCACUGGGAAUACCAUAGACCUUGACUACCUGUGGGCCUUUGAAGAUAUGUCAAAGGUUCAGGACCUCGAUUGGGCAGGCCAUAUCACGGAGCAUCUGAUGGAUGAGGUGCAGAAAUUUCAGUACAAAUCUAGGGAGGAAAAGAUGAGAGACUUCUGGGUUGGCGGGUGCUUGCCCUUGCUCACGAUUGCUUACAUGGACCACUUGGAUCUCCCAAGAGGGCGAAUUGUAGACCAUGAAAUUAACUACUCGGUGCCCAGGAUCUGCCAUGUUUCUAAGGAUGAUUUCCAGUUUGCCGCAAUUGCUGACCUGCAUCGUCAACAUUUCAAGUUUGCCACAUUUGGGAUACUUCCAUUCCGUGAUAGAACACCAUACACUGAUAAUCCAGUAACCGAUACAGAAGUAGCAGAAGACGAUCUUCGUAUUCUCUCGAAUGAUCAAGUCUUAUCAGGGCAAUGGGAACUUGUAGAAGUACACGAGCAAAAAAUAGACGAACUUGUAAAAGAAACUCAACCUGAAGCCCUUGGGUUUGCAGAAGCGAGCAUCGAUCAUUUCCGUCUUGGAAGAACUGAUAUCAGCUCAAAUCAAGGAACUAAAAAAACCGCUAGCUGCGAAAGGGGCAGUUCUAGCCAUUGUAGGAAUACUGCAAAGGCGGCUGUGACACCCUCUUCGUCUGAGAAAUCAGUAGAAGACAGUGGUCGAGAAUAUGAAUCUUCAGAGUCAGAUGAUCAUCCGACACCUCCAGAAGCUGAUUAUGGGGUAAUAUUCAGGAGUUAUCUAUCUGGAACACAAAUGGAGAGUGUAAACACGCUUAUCCACAAAAUUAAACCUGAAACUAUUGUAUUCGUGGCUACCAUGAGGAAGUCCGAUGUUCAGCUACCCACUCCUCUUCUGAUCAUUUCGAAGGAACGCUCAUUAGCCGCAGCUGCACGCUUUCCGCAUGAAAACGGGGCCGUCACACUUCAGAUGCCGGGCAAGAGCGAGAAGUGGAGGCCAAGAUUCUUCAUAGAAAAAGACAAUUGCAUGCUUGCGGGUAAUUGGUUAGAUUUUGUAUGUGACAACCAAGUGCAGGCGGGCGACAUAUGCAUCUUUGUACCGGCAAUGGGUGGGGAAAGGUCCACAUUCACGGUCCAUAUAAUUCGUGCAGAAGCUACUCAUCGAAGGGGUGUUAAAAGGGUUCGAUCCAGCCAUGAUUCUCCGGUUGGCGUGGAAGGAAUGACAAAUCCAGAUGCCGUUUAG